AGUCCGGUCGCUGGUGCUCUUCUUACAUUCCUCGAGCUCCUUUGUGAAGCUCGCCUUCCUCCGGCUGUAAUCCAUGAUCGCCUUCACUUGGAGACUCCUAAAGUGGGCGGCCUCAGCGGCGGCCUCGGAAUAGCAUUUUCUCGACUUGCGGAGCUCGCCCUCCGACUUCUUCAACUUCUUCGUCAGGUGGAGGACCUCCUUUUUCAGUCGCUGGAUAGUUGACUUCAGCGGGACCCCCAGGGGCAAGGGGAGUGCUUCAGCAGGGCACUGCCAUCGGAAGGUGCAAACGUCAAAGACCGACUCAUUACAAGAAGAAAGGCAGAAAAGGAGGAGGAGGGGGAAGGAGAGGCCAUCCACAAUAAGAAAUUCGACUUUAUUGAUUAAUUUUGGAGACAAACAGAAAGAAAAUAUGGCGACAAAAUAAAGACACAAGAUCGGAGGUCUCAGACCUCAGGGGAA
This 459-nucleotide long non-coding RNA is filed under the name Elaeis guineensis (African oil palm). Its description in RNAcentral is "long non-coding RNA (EGUI_LNC043666)". Lineage: Eukaryota; Viridiplantae; Streptophyta; Magnoliopsida; Arecales; Arecaceae. The record is from RNAcentral.